UUUUUAUGAUGACAUCAAUAACUUGGUCUGUGUUACUGAAAUAACAUUGAGAUGAGAAAAUACAGUUUUGUGACUGAAAAA
This 81-nucleotide small nucleolar RNA is filed under the name Plasmodium gonderi. Its description in RNAcentral is "small nucleolar RNA snoR30". It matches the Rfam family "small nucleolar RNA snoR30". Lineage: Eukaryota; Apicomplexa; Aconoidasida; Haemosporida; Plasmodiidae. The record is from Rfam by way of RNAcentral.